CCCGCGUGUAUGAUGAAGGCCUUCGGGUUGUUUAGUACUAAUGGCAGAGAAGAAAAGGUAUCCCCUAAUACGGGAUACUGCUGACGGUAUCUGCAGAAUAAGCACCGGCUAACUACGUGCCAGCAGCCGCGGUAAUACGUAGGGUGCAAGCGUUAAUCGGAAUUACUGGGCGUAAAGGGUGUGUAGCCGGUUCGGAAAGAAAGAUGUGAAAUCCCAGGGCUCAACCUUGGAACUGCAUUUUUAACUGCCGAGCUAGAGUAUGUCAGAGGGGGGUAGAAUUCCACGUGUAGCAGUGAAAUGCGUAGAUAUGUGGAGGAAUACCGAUGGCGAAGGCAGCGGCCUGGGAUAAUACUGACGCUCAGACACGAAAGCGUGGGGAGCAAACAGGAUUAAAUACCCUGGUAGUCCACGCCCUAAACGAUGUCAACUAGCUGUUGGGGCCGUUAGGCCUUAUUAGCGCAGCUAACGCGUGAAGUUGACCGCCUGGGGAGUACGGCCGCAAGAUUAAAACUCAAAGGAAUUGACGGGGACCCGCACAAGCGGUGGAUGAUGUGGAUUAAUUCGAUGCAACGCGAAAAACCUUACCUACCCUUGACAUGUCUGGAAAGCCGAAGAGAUUUGGCCGUGCUCGCAAGAGAACCGGAACACAGGUGCUGCAUGCCAAUCCUAAAAAAAAAUG
RNAcentral lists this ribosomal RNA (679 nucleotides) under Alcaligenes faecalis. RNAcentral describes it as "bacterial SSU rRNA". It matches the Rfam family "Bacterial small subunit ribosomal RNA", at positions 396 to 1066 of the family's 1533-position model. Lineage: Bacteria; Pseudomonadati; Pseudomonadota; Betaproteobacteria; Burkholderiales; Alcaligenaceae. The record is from RNAcentral.